This 1811-nucleotide long non-coding RNA is filed under the name Salvia miltiorrhiza (redroot sage). RNAcentral describes it as "long non-coding RNA (SMIL_LNC008114)". Lineage: Eukaryota; Viridiplantae; Streptophyta; Magnoliopsida; Lamiales; Lamiaceae. The record is from RNAcentral.
CUCUCUCUACAAGGAUUCCAAAACGUAUUUAAACUCUGAAAUCGGUUGAGAAAUGAGCUCUCUAGAGCUGCUGCAAAACUGACUGCAGAAGUAGCUGGAAACCGUUAGUUUGUUAACUAACUUAGGCUUAUCGCUGUUUAGUCCUUAACUCUUACUAAAUUGCACUUGAGCCCCCUGCACUAAGCAUUCACACUCCACACCCAACGUAAUAGAUUUUAGAGCAAAUAACGUCAAAAUCCAAGAAGUUUGGCACGAUUCUCGUUUUUUCCCUGACCCUCACAUUAAAAUCCAUGAACUUGAUCCCAAUUAUUAAUUUUCCCAUAAAAUUAAUUUUCCCCCAAACUUAUGCUGAUAUGGCAAUCAGAAAUCCACGUAGGCUUCAUUUUUCGGCGAAUUGAAUGAUUGUGUUUAAGUCAUAACAUUAAACGUCGUCGUUUUAUAUUUUGUUGGGGAUUAAAUGAAAUUGAAUUGAAAUCCCUCUUCAAAUUAGGUUUCCUCACCAAAAAAUAGCCAAAACACUCUCAGAUUUGAAUAUGAAGAUUUGCCAAAACACUUCGCCUCAAAGCUGAGAACAGCCGAAGGUGCGUUGGCAAUGGAAUCGGAGGGGCAGAAGAUGAGCAUAUCGUAGGGAUAGGAGGAGCGGUGCAAGUCCAGCGGCUGAGAGAUGACUAGAAAGAGACGGUAGCAUGUUGAGGACAAUGGACCCAUCACUAGUAUUUCUCUCUCUCUCUCUCUCUCUCUCUCUUUAUACUAGGGUUUUUAUACAGUAUGAAAGACGUAGAAGAUAGCGUUGAUCGCUGCUGUAAAUUAUUGCAAAGUUUCCGGCAGAUUCAUUCUCGUUUCCAAUCCAAUGGAUGUCUAGUCCAGCGUCGGAGAAUAUGUUGGUGUUGCUCUGUAGUUCCUCCACACGAGAUUUUAAGGUCAAGGGAAAAAUAAGAAUCGCGCCAAACUUUAGGUAUGUUGAUGUUAUUAGGUUAUUUAAUUCAAAGCAAAACGACGCCGUUUAGCUUCUAAUUAAUCUACUCAGAAUAAGUGUGCCACGUUGGUGAUACGUCAUCUAAUUAAUAGCUGAAAAACGUCACUAAGGGAAAAACGAGAAUCGGAGCAAUGAUCCUGGAUUUUAACGCGAGAUUUUUAGGUCAGGGCAAAAACGAGAAUCGCGCCAACCUUUAGGGAUUUUGACACUAUUCGCCUUUGAUUUUAAGCUAAAUAUAUAAUAGAAGUACACAAAAUUAUUAAAAAUUACCUUACUUUGAUCUAUUUACACUUCAUCAGAGACGAUAACCCAACAUCUGUACAUGUGAAAUGGUUACGUCAAUAACCAUUAGUUUCACUCGUACCAAAGCUUUCAAUGGAUCUGAACCAUCCUCCGUUGUUCGAGAAAAUACUACCUUCGAAGGAUAGAGAGAAGAAGCGGUAUAUAUUUGAGAACGAUUCGAAUCGUCUACACACACAUACAAAAGAAAAAACCAAACAAAUCUUAUUCUAGAGAAAAAUCUUAGAAUCUCAAUUUUUGGCAAAAUCAACAAUUUGCUCUCACAAAUAAAAAUCAAGACGAGAUAAUUCCGAAAAGUAAAAUUCUUAUCAUUUAAACUCUUCGAAACUUCGUGAUUUCCAGCGAUCCUUUUUUAAACAAGCAGUGCCGAAUAAUGUAGUCGUCGGAGCUCUUAGAGAAUUUCGAAAACUGCUGAAUGUUCGAAAGAAUUGAGGAAUGGAACCAAAACCAUAACUCUUCUGCGUUAUUUCCAAUUCCAAUGCGGUUAAUGGGGAGUGAUUUUAGGGAACACGGCUUUCACCCUUUUGAAAUUCCC